CGUGCACCUGCCGGUUGACUAUCAACAGAAAGUGCUUGUCGCUUUGGCAUGGUCCAAAGAACUAUCAAGGAAUGUGAUGUACAUUAAUGUGUCAUUCCGCCAUGGCAGAGUCAAAAUCCAAAGUAGUAGCAUAUGAAAAAUUCCUCAAUGAAACGUUGAGAGAGGAUUUAAGGAAAAUUCUUGAUGAAAGGGACAAAGUGUAUAGUCAGAUUGCUGAAUAUCUCCAACUGAAGACAGUCAUUGAAAAAACAAAGGAUGCUGAUGGUGGAGAGAUAAAGACACAGGUGGAUCUGGGCUGCAACUUCUAUGUUCAAGCCAAAGUACCGGAUACUUCCAGGAUAUGUGUAGCUGUAGGAUUUGGCUUCUUUGUGGAGUUCACCCUAGAUGAGGCACUCAAGUUCAUUGAUAAGAAGACAGCGGCUCUGACACACAGAACAGAUGAACUGUCUAAAGAUGCAGCUAAAGUCAAAGCUCACAUCAGGCUGGUUCUGGAGGGCUUGAGAGAGGUGCAACUGAUCAGUGACAAACCUGAUGUGGAAUACCGUGACCCCCAGGCCUGAUGAAGCAUGCAGUGAGAUGAGGGGUGGAAUGCUAACAUUGCUGAUGGAACACCUGUUCCCUUGGCCUGAUUCCUGACCCCCACGCCUGAUGGACCUCACCAUGCCCCUUCUGCCCUGAUGGACCUCACCCUGCCCCUUCUGCCCUGAUGGACCUCACCCUGCUCCUUCUGCCCUGAUGGAACUCACAUGCCCCUUCUGCCUUGAUGGACCUCAUCCUGCUCCUACUGCCCUGAUGGAACUCACCCUGCCCUUUCUGCCCUGAUGGACCUCACCAUGCCCCUUCUGCCUUGAUGGACCUAAUCCUGCUCCUACUGCCCUGAUGGAACUCACCCUGCCCCUUCUGCCCUGAUGGACCUCACCAUGCCCCUGCCCUGAUGGACCUUGCCCCUUCUGCCCUGAUGGACCUCACCCUGCUCCUUCUGCCCUGAUGGAACUCACAUGCCCCUUCUGUCCUGAUGGACCUCACCAUGCCCCUUCUGCCCUGAUAGACCUCACCAUGUUCCUUCUGCCCUGAUGGACCUUAUCCUGCCCUGAUGGACCUCACCAUGCUCCUUCUGCCCUCAUGGAACUCACCAUCCCCCUUCUGCCCUGAUGGACCUCAUCCUGCUCCUUCUGCCCUGAUGGACCUCACCAUGCCCCUUCUGCCCUUAUGGAACUCACCUUGCAUCUCUUGCCCUGAUGGACCUCAUCCUGCUCCUUCUGCCAUGAUGGACCUCACCAUGCCCCUUCUGCCCUGAUGGAACUCACCUUGCCCCUUCUGCCCUGAUGGAACUCACCUUGCUCCUUCUGCCCUGAUGGAGCUCACCUUGCAUCUAUUGCCCUGAUGGAACUCACCAUGCCCCUUCUGUCCUGAUGGAACUCGCCCUAUCCAUGUUUGAAGUCACUCUAUCCUUCUUACCCCAAAUGACCUUAUCCUGCCCUGAUGGACCUCACCCAGUCCUGCAGGUACUCACCAAGUCCUCUUGCCCUGAUGGACCUCACCCCGUCCUGCAGGUAUCCCUCUUGCCCUGAUGGACCCCAACCUGCCCUUCAGGAACUCACCAAGUCCUCUUGCCCUUAUGGACCUCACCCUAUCUCUCUUGCCCUGAUGGACCUCACCCAGUCCUGCAGGAACUCGCCAAGUCCUCUUGCCCUGAUUGACCUCACCCUAUCCCUCUUGCCCUGAUGGACCCCAACCUGCCCUUCAGGAACUCACCUGAUCCCUCUUGCCCUGAUGGACCUCACCCUAUCCCUCUUGCCCUGAUGGACCUCAACCAGUCCUGCAGGUACUCACAAAGUCCUCUUGCCCUGAUGGACCUCACCCUAUCUCUCUUGCCCUGAUGGACCUCACCCAGUCCUGCAGGAACUCGCCAAGUCCUCUUGCCCUGAUUGACCUCACCCUGUCCCUCUUGCCCUGAUGGACCUCACCCUGUCCUGCAGGAACUCACCUGAUCCCUCUUGCCCUGAUGGACCUCAACCAGUCCUGCAGGAACUCACCUGAUCCCUUUUGCCCUGAUGGACCUCACCCUAUCCCUCUUGCCCUGAUGGACCUCAACCAGUCCUGCAGGUACUCACAAAGUCCUCUUGCCCUGAUGGACCUCACCCUAUCUCUCUUGCCCUGAUGGACCUCAC
Haliotis rubra (blacklip abalone) is the source of this 2171-nucleotide RNA transcript. It is a transcript of the gene named protein UXT-like, with no coding region annotated. NCBI's taxonomy places the organism in Eukaryota, Metazoa, Mollusca, Gastropoda, Lepetellida, Haliotidae. The record is from RefSeq and is a predicted model, not a curated record. The transcript is spliced from 6 exons.